Molecule: ribosomal RNA, 465 nt
Filed under: uncultured bacterium
Lineage: Bacteria
Description: partial 16S ribosomal RNA
Rfam family: Bacterial small subunit ribosomal RNA
Source: RNAcentral
GACGAACGCUGGCGGCGUGCUUAACACAUGCAAGUCGAACGGAAAGGCCCCCUUGUGGGGUACUCGAGUGGCGAACGGGUGAGUAACACGUGAGUAACCUACCCUUGACUUUGGGAUAACUUCAGGAAACUGGGGCUAAUACCGGAUAGGAGCUCCUGCUGCAUGGUGGGGGUUGGAAAGUUUCGGCGGUUGGGGAUGGACUCGCGGCUUAUCAGCUUGUUGGUGGGGUAGUGGCUCACCAAGGCUUUGACGGGUAGCCGGCCUGAGAGGGUGACCGGCCACAUUGGGACUGAGAUACGGCCCAGACUCCUACGGGAGGCAGCAGUGGGGAAUAUUGCAUAAUGGGCGGAAGCCUGAUGCAGCAACGCCGCGUGCGGGAUGACGGCCUUCGGGUUGUAAACCGCUUUCGCCUGUGACGAAGCGUGAGUGACGGUAAUGGGUAAAGAAGCACCGGCUAACUACGUG